Molecule: long non-coding RNA, 1499 nt
Filed under: Citrus x clementina
Lineage: Eukaryota; Viridiplantae; Streptophyta; Magnoliopsida; Sapindales; Rutaceae
Description: Citrus clementina (C. clementina) long non-coding RNA (CCLE_LNC003450)
Source: RNAcentral
AAUGCAUCUUGCAUGUCAUUAUCAUUAAACAGGUUAUGGUACUCAGAAGACCAAGGGAGCAUCACUUUGUACUCUCUUGUAGAUGCAUACCUGAUAGAUGUAUCCCAACAUAUGUCAAUGAUGUCUGCCCACAACUUAGUUAGGGUGUACUUAUCAGGUAGAACACUACUAAUCUCAAUUACUGAGCCAUCAACUACAGCUUCAACAUCAAAGAAAACACAACUGCAAGUGGUCAUCAACAUAUGCAUUAGAGGCAAUGAUAGCAGAUAGGUUAAAAUUUCAUUGUUUGACAACAAAAACAGUGAUAGGUAAAAAUUCCAGAUAGGUGGAAAUAUUUGGUAUUCAAGUUAUACAUCAUUGGAAAGAAAUAUUUGGUAUUCAAAUUCUUACAUUAAUCAAGUGAGCAGAAUUUCUGUGCAGAAGGGGCAUCUUUGGGAAUUAAACUGUACUGCAUGAGAUCGAAUUAAUUUUCGAGCCAUACAUCAUUGGAAAGAUAUUUCUGUUAGCUUUUCAAUGAAUUUUACUAAUCUAAAUUUGGAGCUAUCUACAGUAAGUUAUGAUCAGUUAAGUGUAGACUGUUCAGUUUUAAAUAGAAUUUCUUACAUUAAUCAAGUGUCCGGUGUCAAAUAGCUUGGCUCUUAUUAUUCCUUCCACUAAUAUUAAACCAAAAACCAAUUCUCUUAUGAGCUGUAACUCUAAGGCUUAACUAUUGUAAGUCCACGACCAUAUGCAGCAAAUGUUAUAUAUAGAUCAAACAAAUUUUGUCUUGUUUUACUGCCAUUACAGAGCCAAAAUUUUCUAAUUUCAAUUCUGGUUUUACCUAAGCCAUGUAUAUAAAUCACAAUAUCUUUUUGAGUUAUCUACAAAUAAAAAGUAGAUAAGAGUGUGCUUUCAAACAACUCACCUCUGAUUUGCUUCGACAUAGAUGUUCGUGCUUGUGGGUCGCCGGCGAAACUCACUACGAUACAUCGUGGACUAGUGGUUCGUGCUUGUGGUUUAUGCUGCUGCUCGUUGCCACUGUAAGCUGCUGCUCAUCAAUUCAGUAAUCCUCUGUGAUGAUCAAAAAUCGUCUUUGUAUCUAGGGUUUUAUAUGAUGAUGGUGGUGGUUGUUUUUGCUUUCGUUUUUGUUUUUAGUUUUCAAGAUUAUUAAAAAAAUGAUAGCAAAGAGAUGCAUUGUUUGAAACGAAACCAAAUUUCUUUUUGCAAGUUUGGUUUUUAUUUGUGUCAGAACAUCAGUAAUUGAAAUGACUAGUUAUUGUUCUCGAGGCAACGAAAGUUGCAAAAGGUUUGUUUUAUUGCGAAAUGUCGACAAUGCCCACAACUACCAAAACGGCAAUUAAACGGAGUAAAAACGUAAGGAGUUGUUUACAAAUAAAUAGAUUCUUACCAUCUACUUGCAACAAGUACAAACUUCAAGGGAGGUUUUUAAAAAUUACCCUAUUGAAUAUUGAUGCAGGACAUGUUAUUUUUAAGGGCGAUUACUAUUGAGCACCUAUUUU